AUUGGGCGUGUGUGUGUAUGUGACUGUGAAGCCCCACGUGUGUCUGCUAGUAGUUAAGAACUGUUUGACUGUCGCAGUCCUUGGGUGAGCCCCGUCGUUUCAAAGUUCUCCGUCCGACUGGACAUUUGGUUGUGAUCCAACAGCUCUACUGAUUCUCUCUCUCGUCUAUCUGUGUACAGCUAUUUCUUGAUAUCGACGCGUGUCUCGAUUGUAGUGUUGUGCAAAGUUUUGAUUUCGCCAUCUUGGAAUAUUUUUUUUUGGCGAAUUUUCAUUUCCCGCCAAAAGAAAAAAAAAGAGGAGACAUUUUAAGCUCGUGAGAGCGCCAUCUUUGUGCCGGUAAAAAGUUGUUUUGUUAUUGUCGGCCAUUGAAAUGCAGUCGGUUGGCAAAAGAAAGGGACCACGAUACAAAAAGGAAAUUGAUUUUGAUCUUCCCAGAGAAAUUUACCCUCCUACUUUAUAUUUCCUUUUUAACAUCUAGAUCUUUCUCUUGUUUUUUCUUCGCAAAAAAAGAAAGGAAUGGCCAUUUUCUGAUUUA
Long non-coding RNA from Daphnia magna, 535 nucleotides. RefSeq lists it as uncharacterized. The transcript is spliced from 2 exons. The record is from RefSeq and is a predicted model, not a curated record. Lineage: Eukaryota; Metazoa; Arthropoda; Branchiopoda; Diplostraca; Daphniidae.